UAAUAAGUGUUUUUAUGGCACUUUUUAAAUCCAUAUCCACCUUGUGUGCAAUGUCAGUCGAUCUUCCUCAUGGAGAUCGACCAAACAUCAACCUUUAUCUUUUAACUCUUUGUCUGAAAAAUAUUAUGAAUAAAACAAUUCAAAAUA
This 147-nucleotide unclassified non-coding RNA is filed under the name soil metagenome. RNAcentral describes it as "partial internal transcribed spacer 1". The record is from RNAcentral.